This 63-nucleotide non-coding RNA is filed under the name Micromonospora sp. RNAcentral also lists the same sequence under 1 other name. Lineage: Bacteria; Bacillati; Actinomycetota; Actinomycetes; Micromonosporales; Micromonosporaceae. The record is from RNAcentral.
UGCGGCGGCCCCGAGCCGCCCCGGACGAGUGGUGGCGUACCCGGUCAGGCCAAGACGCCCCGU